This 1505-nucleotide ribosomal RNA is filed under the name Parabacteroides sp. D13. Its description in RNAcentral is "bacterial SSU rRNA". It matches the Rfam family "Bacterial small subunit ribosomal RNA". The record is from RNAcentral. RNAcentral also lists the same sequence under 3 other names. Lineage: Bacteria; Pseudomonadati; Bacteroidota; Bacteroidia; Bacteroidales; Tannerellaceae.
AGAGUUUGAUCCUGGCUCAGGAUGAACGCUAGCGACAGGCUUAACACAUGCAAGUCGAGGGGCAGCACAGGUAGCAAUACCGGGUGGCGACCGGCGCACGGGUGAGUAACGCGUAUGCAACUUGCCUAUCAGAGGGGGAUAACCCGGCGAAAGUCGGACUAAUACCGCAUGAAGCAGGGGCCCCGCAUGGGGAUAUUUGCUAAAGAUUCAUCGCUGAUAGAUAGGCAUGCGUUCCAUUAGGCAGUUGGCGGGGUAACGGCCCACCAAACCGACGAUGGAUAGGGGUUCUGAGAGGAAGGUCCCCCACAUUGGUACUGAGACACGGACCAAACUCCUACGGGAGGCAGCAGUGAGGAAUAUUGGUCAAUGGCCGAGAGGCUGAACCAGCCAAGUCGCGUGAGGGAUGAAGGUUCUAUGGAUCGUAAACCUCUUUUAUAAGGGAAUAAAGUGCGGGACGUGUCCCGUUUUGUAUGUACCUUAUGAAUAAGGAUCGGCUAACUCCGUGCCAGCAGCCGCGGUAAUACGGAGGAUCCGAGCGUUAUCCGGAUUUAUUGGGUUUAAAGGGUGCGUAGGCGGCCUUUUAAGUCAGCGGUGAAAGUCUGUGGCUCAACCAUAGAAUUGCCGUUGAAACUGGGGGGCUUGAGUAUGUUUGAGGCAGGCGGAAUGCGUGGUGUAGCGGUGAAAUGCAUAGAUAUCACGCAGAACCCCGAUUGCGAAGGCAGCCUGCCAAGCCAUGACUGACGCUGAUGCACGAAAGCGUGGGGAUCAAACAGGAUUAGAUACCCUGGUAGUCCACGCAGUAAACGAUGAUCACUAGCUGUUUGCGAUACACUGUAAGCGGCACAGCGAAAGCGUUAAGUGAUCCACCUGGGGAGUACGCCGGCAACGGUGAAACUCAAAGGAAUUGACGGGGGCCCGCACAAGCGGAGGAACAUGUGGUUUAAUUCGAUGAUACGCGAGGAACCUUACCCGGGUUUGAACGCAUUCGGACCGAGGUGGAAACACCUUUUCUAGCAAUAGCCGUUUGCGAGGUGCUGCAUGGUUGUCGUCAGCUCGUGCCGUGAGGUGUCGGCUUAAGUGCCAUAACGAGCGCAACCCUUGCCACUAGUUACUAACAGGUGAUGCUGAGGACUCUGGUGGGACUGCCAGCGUAAGCUGCGAGGAAGGCGGGGAUGACGUCAAAUCAGCACGGCCCUUACAUCCGGGGCGACACACGUGUUACAAUGGCGUGGACAAAGGGAGGCCACCUGGCGACAGGGAGCGAAUCCCCAAACCACGUCUCAGUUCGGAUCGGAGUCUGCAACCCGACUCCGUGAAGCUGGAUUCGCUAGUAAUCGCGCAUCAGCCAUGGCGCGGUGAAUACGUUCCCGGGCCUUGUACACACCGCCCGUCAAGCCAUGGGAGCCGGGGGUACCUGAAGUCCGUAACCGCGAGGAUCGGCCUAGGGUAAAACUGGUGACUGGGGCUAAGUCGUAACAAGGUAGCCGUACCGGAAGGUGCGGCUG